This 76-nucleotide transfer RNA is filed under the name Candidatus Acetothermia bacterium. RNAcentral describes it as "tRNA-Thr". It matches the Rfam family "tRNA". From Rfam's summary of the family: Transfer RNA (tRNA) molecules are approximately 80 nucleotides in length. Their secondary structure includes four short double-helical elements and three loops (D, anti-codon, and T loops). The record is from RNAcentral. RNAcentral also lists the same sequence under 1 other name. Lineage: Bacteria; Candidatus Bipolaricaulota.
GCCCGUGUAGUUCAGUCGGUAGAACAUCCCGUUGGUAAUGGGAAGGUCGGCGGUUCAAUUCCGCCCGCGGGCUCCA